AAUCCUUCCAGGGAUUCACUCUUCAAUCUGUAUUCAAAUCACCAUGGGUUGGCUGGAGUAUAUGUACUCAAGAGAGAUAAAAUAAAAGUUGUAGUGCACAAUCAGGUAUGUAAUAAAAAAAGAUUUCAUCACUUACAUCAAGGUUAAAAACAAUGGGUGUAGUAUCUCUGAGUCACCACCAGGGGUCCUACACAUUUCGUCCGUCUGCAGGACUUUCUCAGGGACUUUGGCAGUGUGCAAUGACAAGUUGCAACGCAUAUUGG
Molecule: non-coding RNA, 263 nt
Organism: Pelobates cultripes (western spadefoot toad)
Lineage: Eukaryota; Metazoa; Chordata; Amphibia; Anura; Pelobatidae
Source: the annotation of a GenBank genome assembly